CCUACGGGAGGCAGCAGUGGGGAAUUUUGGACAAUGGGCGCAAGCCUGAUCCAGCCAUGCCGCGUGAGUGAAGAAGGCCUUCGGGUUGUAAAGCUCUUUCGGCCGGGACGAAAUCGCAUGCGUGAAUAUCGUGUGUGGAUGACGGUACCGGAAUAAGAAGCACCGGCUAACUACGUGCCAGCAGCCGCGGUAAUACGUAGGGUGCGAGCGUUAAUCGGAAUUACUGGGCGUAAAGCGUGCGCAGGCGGUUUCGUAAGCCAGAUGUGAAAUCCCCGGGCUUAACCUGGGAACUGCAUUUGGGACUGCGAGGCUAGAGUACGGCAGAGGGAGGUGGAAUUCCACGUGUAGCAGUGAAAUGCGUAGAUAUGUGGAGGAACACCGAUGGCGAAGGCAGCCUCCUGGGCUAGUACUGACGCUCAUGCACGAAAGCGUGGGGAGCAAACAGGAUUAGAUACCCUGGUAGUCCACGCCCUAAACGAUGACACUGUUGUUGGGUAUUAACAUCCUUAGUACGCAGCUAACGCGUGAGUUGCCGCGUGGGGUAGUCGGUUCGCAAGUUAUUAAAACCGUCAAAGUUAGAGUUAGACGGGCGUUGAGACGUUCGCCGACGGACGACCGACCGAGGGGAGGUUAGG
RNAcentral lists this ribosomal RNA (635 nucleotides) under uncultured bacterium. Its description in RNAcentral is "bacterial SSU rRNA". The stretch from base 1 to 534 matches the Rfam family "Bacterial small subunit ribosomal RNA", at positions 338 to 873 of the family's 1533-position model. The record is from RNAcentral.